UCUGUUCUAACUUGGAAAAGGAUCUUGUAUGGCCUGGAACAAGGCAGAAUUAGUGGCUUUUUACUCAUCUUCUGGGUGUUCAGCUCCUCUCUGUCAGGGCUGGAGACUGCAGGACAGAAUGUAACAGCUGGAUAGAGUCUGGGGCAUGAAGAAGGAGGAAAAGGAUGCAGGAAAGAAUUUAAGAGGCAAAGUGGAUGUGAUAAAGGAACGAGAAGAUCAUGAGAAAAGAUGAAAAAGAGAACAGUGACUGACCC
Molecule: long non-coding RNA, 254 nt
Filed under: Homo sapiens (human)
Lineage: Eukaryota; Metazoa; Chordata; Mammalia; Primates; Hominidae
Description: HSALNT0384458
Source: RNAcentral